UACAGAGGGUGCGAGCGUUAAUCGGAAUUACUGGGCGUAAAGCGCACGUAGUCGGCUUUGCAAGUCGGUUGUGAAAUCCCCGGGCUCAACCUGGGAACUGCAUCCGAGACUGCAUUGCUAGAGUAUGGGAGAGGAAAGCGGAAUUUCUGGUGUAGCAGUGAAAUGCGUAGAUAUCGGGAGGAACACCAGUGGCGAAGGCGGCUCACUGGUCCGGUACUGACGCUGAGGUGCGAAAGCGUGGGGAGCAAACAGG
RNAcentral lists this ribosomal RNA (253 nucleotides) under uncultured bacterium. RNAcentral describes it as "partial 16S ribosomal RNA". It matches the Rfam family "Bacterial small subunit ribosomal RNA", at positions 524 to 776 of the family's 1533-position model. The record is from RNAcentral.